GGAGGGUGCGAGCGUUGUCCGGAAUCAUUGGGCGUAAAGGGCGCGUAGGUGGCGGGACAAGCGUGCGGUGAAAGCUCGGGGCUCAACCCCGCGUCGGCCGUGCGAACUGUUUUGCUUGAGCACUGUAGAGGCAGGCGGAAUUCCGGGUGUAGCGGUGGAAUGCGUAGAGAUCCGGAAGAACACCGGUGGCGAAGGCGGCCUGCUGGGCAGUAGCUGACACUGAGGCGCGACAGCGUGGGGAGCAAACAGGAUUAGAUACCCUGGUAGUCCACGCCGUAAACGAUGGGCACUAGGCDCWUGGGGGAGCGACCCCCCGAGGGCCGGCCUAACGCAUUAAGUGCCCCGCCUGGGGAGUACGGCCGCAAGGCUG
This 370-nucleotide ribosomal RNA is filed under the name uncultured bacterium. Its description in RNAcentral is "bacterial SSU rRNA". It matches the Rfam family "Bacterial small subunit ribosomal RNA", at positions 527 to 896 of the family's 1533-position model. The record is from RNAcentral.